RNAcentral lists this ribosomal RNA (844 nucleotides) under Bacillus subtilis. Its description in RNAcentral is "bacterial SSU rRNA". It matches the Rfam family "Bacterial small subunit ribosomal RNA", at positions 56 to 880 of the family's 1533-position model. Lineage: Bacteria; Bacillati; Bacillota; Bacilli; Caryophanales; Bacillaceae. The record is from RNAcentral.
UGCAAGUCGAGCGGACAGAUGGGAGCUUGCUCCCUGAUGUUAGCGGCGGACGGGUGAGUAACACGUGGGUAACCUGCCUGUAAGACUGGGAUAACUCCGGGAAACCGGGGCUAAUACCGGAUGGUUGUUUGAACCGCAUGGUUCAAACAUAAAAGGUGGCUUCGGCUACCACUUACAGAUGGACCCGCGGCGCAUUAGCUAGUUGGUGAGGUAACGGCUCACCAAGGCGACGAUGCGUAGCCGACCUGAGAGGGUGAUCGGCCACACUGGGACUGAGACACGGCCCAGACUCCUACGGGAGGCAGCAGUAGGGAAUCUUCCGCAAUGGACGAAAGUCUGACGGAGCAACGCCGCGUGAGUGAUGAAGGUUUUCGGAUCGUAAAGCUCUGUUGUUAGGGAAGAACAAGUACCGUUCGAAUAGGGCGGUACCUUGACGGUACCUAACCAGAAAGCCACGGCUAACUACGUGCCAGCAGCCGCGGUAAUACGUAGGUGGCAAGCGUUGUCCGGAAUUAUUGGGCGUAAAGGGCUCGCAGGCGGUUUCUUAAGUCUGAUGUGAAAGCCCCCGGCUCAACCGGGGAGGGUCAUUGGAAACUGGGGAACUUGAGUGCAGAAGAGGAGAGUGGAAUUCCACGUGUAGCGGUGAAAUGCGUAGAGAUGUGGAGGAACACCAGUGGCGAAGGCGACUCUCUGGUCUGUAACUGACGCUGAGGAGCGAAAGCGUGGGGAGCGAACAGGAUUAGAUACCCUGGUAGUCCACGCCGUAAACGAUGAGUGCUAAGUGUUAGGGGGUUUCUCGCCCCUUAGUGCUGCAGCUAACGCAUUAAGCACUCCGCCUGGGGAG